Rattus norvegicus (Norway rat) is the source of this 63-nucleotide non-coding RNA. NCBI's taxonomy places the organism in Eukaryota, Metazoa, Chordata, Mammalia, Rodentia, Muridae. The record is from Rfam.
GGGGAUUUAGCUCAGUGGUAGAGCGCUUGCCUAGCACGCGCAAGGCCCUGGGUUCAGUCCCCA